GCACUUAAAAACGUGAAUGCCAUGACUCUGGGAAGAUGGGUCAAGAACAGGGACUUCAUUUACAGAAGAAUCAGAUAAAUUGAAUGGUACAAAACAUCUUUUUGUGACGAAUCUUGAUGUUCUUGAUCCUAGAGUUUCUUGAACAAGGUUUGAGCUGAGUCUUUUGAAAACCCUCAUAGCAGCCUCCCCUCUAGCUCUUUGAAACCCUCAAAUCAUCAAUUAUCAAACGCCACUAGUGCUUGCUCUUCCUUCUCUCAUUUGCCAUUCUUCAGAUGCGCUGAGCAAUCAGGUUUGAGAUGGCUGUGCACAGUGCGGAGUGAUGCAGUUAAUAUUUUAAUUUAUUUAAUUAAUAUUUUUUUCCAUUUUGAAAAAAAUUUACACAAAACUCAAUCUCAAUCCUAUAUUAUUUUAAUACUAUAAUACCUGAGUCUACCCAGGUAUGCAGUUAACCAAUGGAAUUAUUUUAGGACCAAUCAGAAGUCAUUACUAAAUUUUAGACCAAUCUUCUACCACUAUAUACAGUUAACCAAUCAAGGAAUUAUUAAGUCAUUCCUAAAUUUUAGACCAAUCAUAUUCAUUCUUCAACUUUCUUUCAACCACCUUAUGCAGUUAAUCAAUCAGAAAAAACGAAUUAUUUUAGCACUAAUAUUAUUUAUUAUACAAUAUAAUUAAUCAACUCCUUUUAAUUACCAUGCUAGGGAUCCGAAAAGGUUCCCGAAUUUGUUCCAAAUGACAAGUGGCGCGGUUUAAUAUUUUAAGAUACGCAUCCAAUCAACUUUUGUCAACUAAACAUCCAACCAAUUUGGGGUUCCUAGCAUUUAACAUAAAACUCUAUCAUCCUAAUACUAUCAGAGGGACUUCAAAAUCGAAAAAAGCACGAAACUUAUCAAUUAAAACCUGGAAAUUUGUUGGCACUAUAAACUUUCCACACAAAUGAAAUCAAAAAUACAGACACACAUAUGGACUGAUUAAAAGAAAAUAUAAAGGGGGGAAAGAUACAAACUGGGCACUUAAAAACGUGAAUGCCAUGACUCUGGGAAGAUGGGUCAAGAACAGGGACUUCAUUUACAGAAGAAUCAGAUAAAUUGAAUGGUACAAAACAUCUUUUUGUGACGAAUCUUGAUGUUCUUGAUCCUAGAGUUUCUUGAACAAGGUUUGAGCUGAGUCUUUUGAAAACCCUCAUAGCAGCCUCCCCUCUAGCUCUUUGAAACCCUCAAAUCAUCAAUUAUCAAAC
RNAcentral lists this long non-coding RNA (1234 nucleotides) under Daucus carota (carrot). Its description in RNAcentral is "long non-coding RNA (DCAR_LNC001608)". The record is from RNAcentral. Lineage: Eukaryota; Viridiplantae; Streptophyta; Magnoliopsida; Apiales; Apiaceae.